Molecule: ribosomal RNA, 253 nt
Filed under: uncultured bacterium
Lineage: Bacteria
Description: partial 16S ribosomal RNA
Rfam family: Bacterial small subunit ribosomal RNA
Source: RNAcentral
UACAGAGGUCUCAAGCGUUGUUCGGAUUCAUUGGGCGUAAAGGGUGCGUAGGCGGUGAGGUAAGUUGGAUGUGAAAUCCCGGAGCUUAACUCCGGAACUGCAUUCAAUACUGCCUUGCUAGAGUACUGGAGAGGAGAUUGGAAUUCACGGUGUAGCAGUGAAAUGCGUAGAUAUCGUGAGGAAGACCAGUGGCGAAGGCGAAUCUCUGGACAGUUACUGACGCUGAGGCGCGAAGGCCAGGGGAGCAAACGGG